RNAcentral lists this ribosomal RNA (267 nucleotides) under uncultured bacterium. Its description in RNAcentral is "partial 16S ribosomal RNA". It matches the Rfam family "Bacterial small subunit ribosomal RNA", at positions 123 to 406 of the family's 1533-position model. The record is from RNAcentral.
AACGUACCUUUUGGUUGAGAAUAGCGUCGGGAAACUGACGGUAAUACUCAAUAAAGUCGAGAGACCAAAGGUUUACUGCCGGAAGAGCGGCCGAUGCGAUAUUAGGUAGUUGGUAGGGUAAUGGCCUACCAAGGCUAAGACGGGUAGCUGGUCUGAGAGGAUGAUCAGCCACACUGGAACUGAGACACGGUCCAGACUCCUACGGGAGGCAGCAGUGGGGAAUCUUGCGCAAUGGGCGAAAGCCUGACGCAGCGACGCCGCGUGGGU